UACGUAGGGGGCUAGCGUUGUCCGGAAUCAUUGGGCGUAAAGCGCGUGUAGGCGGUUCGGUAAGUCCGCUGUGAAAGUCGGGGGCUCAACCCUCGAAUGCCGGUGGAUACUGUCGGGCUAGAGUACGGAAGAGGCGAGUGGAAUUCCUGGUGUAGCGGUGAAAUGCGCAGAUAUCAGGAGGAACACCAAUUGCGAAGGCAGCUCGCUGGGACGUUACUGACGCUGAGACGCGAAAGCGUGGGGAGCAAACAGG
This 253-nucleotide ribosomal RNA is filed under the name uncultured bacterium. RNAcentral's name for it is "partial 16S ribosomal RNA". It matches the Rfam family "Bacterial small subunit ribosomal RNA", at positions 524 to 776 of the family's 1533-position model. The record is from RNAcentral.